Mastomys coucha (southern multimammate mouse) is the source of this 302-nucleotide RNA transcript. It is a transcript of the gene named small integral membrane protein 1 pseudogene, with no coding region annotated. The record is from RefSeq and is a predicted model, not a curated record. The transcript is spliced from 2 exons. NCBI's taxonomy places the organism in Eukaryota, Metazoa, Chordata, Mammalia, Rodentia, Muridae.
CCCAGGCCUACAGCAUGCAGUCCCAGGAGAGUGGUGUUCACUACAGCAGGUGGGACAGCAGCAGCUGGGAUGAAGUCAGCAUGACUACCAUGCCCAGCUCAGAGGAGGCCGCAUGCUACAGGAGGAUCUCCCAGAAGCUGCGUUCUGGUGAGCUGGGGAUAGCCAUGAAGAUGCUGGGUUGGAGUAGCGCUCUCCUGGCUCAUUUCAUCUUGGGCUACACCACUGGCUACUAUGUGCACAAGUGCAAAGAAAUGCUGCUCCAUUCCCACCCCUGGGGAUUCCCUCCCAUAUCUCAGGACUGA